This 253-nucleotide ribosomal RNA is filed under the name uncultured bacterium. RNAcentral's name for it is "partial 16S ribosomal RNA". It matches the Rfam family "Bacterial small subunit ribosomal RNA", at positions 524 to 776 of the family's 1533-position model. The record is from RNAcentral.
UACGAGAGGCCCAAACGUUAUUCGGAUUUACUGGGCUUAAAGAGUUCGUAGGCGGCGCGGAAAGUAGGGUGUGAAAGCCCUCGGCUCAACCGAGGAAUUGCGCCCUAAACUGCCGUGCUAGAGGAACCUAGAGGUGAGCAGAACUGAUGGUGGAGCGGUGAAAUGCGUUGAUAUCAUCAGGAAUACCGGAGGCGAAGGCGGCUCACUGGGGGUUUUCUGACGCUGAGGAACGAAAGCCAGGGUAGCGAACGGG